ACGAUGAGCCCAGCUUGCUGGGUGGAUUAGUGGCGAACGGGUGAGUAACACGUGAGUAACCUGCCCUUAACUCUGGGAUAAGCCUGGGAAACUGGGUCUAAUACCGGAUAGGAGCGUCCACCGCAUGGUGGGUGUUGGAAAGAUUUAUCGGUUUUGGAUGGACUCGCGGCCUAUCAGCUUGUUGGUGAGGUAAUGGCUCACCAAGGCGACGACGGGUAGCCGGCCUGAGAGGGUGACCGGCCACACUGGGACUGAGACACGGCCCAGACUCCUACGGGAGGCAGCAGUGGGGAAUAUUGCACAAUGGGCGAAAGCCUGAUGCAGCGACGCCGCGUGAGGGAUGACGGCCUUCGGGUUGUAAACCUCUUUCAGUAGGGAAGAAGCGAAAGUGACGGUACCUGCAGAAGAAGCACCGGCUAACUACGUGCCAGCAGCCGCGGUAAUACGUAGGGUGCGAGCGUUAUCCGGAAUUAUUGGGCGUAAAGAGCUCGUAGGCGGUUUGUCGCGUCUGUCGUGAAAGUCCGGGGCUUAACCCCGGAUCUGCGGUGGGUACGGGCAGACUAGAGUGCAGUAGGGGAGACUGGAAUUCCUGGUGUAGCGGUGGAAUGCGCAGAUAUCAGGAGGAACACCGAUGGCGAAGGCAGGUCUCUGGGCUGUAACUGACGCUGAGGAGCGAAAGCAUGGGGAGCGAACAGGAUUAGAUACCCUGGUAGUCCAUGCCGUAAACGUUGGGGCACUAGGUGUGGGGGACCAUUUCCACGGGUUUCCCGCGUCCGCAGCUAAACGCAUUAAGGCCCCCGCCUGGGGAG
Molecule: ribosomal RNA, 809 nt
Rfam family: Bacterial small subunit ribosomal RNA